This 253-nucleotide ribosomal RNA is filed under the name uncultured bacterium. RNAcentral describes it as "partial 16S ribosomal RNA". It matches the Rfam family "Bacterial small subunit ribosomal RNA", at positions 524 to 776 of the family's 1533-position model. The record is from RNAcentral.
UACGUAGGGGGCAAGCGUUGUCCGGAAUUAUUGGGCGUAAAGAGCGUGUAGGCGGUCCGGUAAGUCAGCUGUGAAAGUCAAGGGCUCAACCCUUGAAUGCCGGUUGAUACUGUCGGGCUAGAGUCCGGAAGAGGCGAGUGGAAUUCCCGGUGUAGCGGUGAAAUGCGCAGAUAUCGGGAAGAACACCGGUGGCGAAGGCGCUCUGCUAGGCCGCAACUGACACUGAGGGACGAAAGCUAGGGGAGCGAAUGGG